GCCCGGGUGGUCUAGUUGGCUAUGAUUCUCGCUUAGGGCCUUAACCCUAAGUACUUUUAUGCGAGAGGUCCCGCGUUCGAAUCGCGGCUCGGGCC
Molecule: non-coding RNA, 95 nt
Organism: Arthroderma sp. PD_2
Lineage: Eukaryota; Fungi; Ascomycota; Eurotiomycetes; Onygenales; Arthrodermataceae
Source: the annotation of a GenBank genome assembly